RNAcentral lists this microRNA precursor (102 nucleotides) under Marmota monax (woodchuck). The record is from RNAcentral. Lineage: Eukaryota; Metazoa; Chordata; Mammalia; Rodentia; Sciuridae.
UUGCAAAUCAUGCGACAGUCUUGUUAAAGACAGAUUCUGAGUCAGUAGGUAUCACAGAAGCCUGAGGUUCUGUACUUUAAACAAGCUGAUGAUGAUGAUGAU